This 508-nucleotide long non-coding RNA is filed under the name Struthio camelus australis. RNAcentral's name for it is "lncRNA (ENSSCUG00000009882.1)". The record is from RNAcentral. Lineage: Eukaryota; Metazoa; Chordata; Aves; Struthioniformes; Struthionidae.
AAUUUAUUUAUUUAUUUUUUUCUCCACAGCUUUAAGGCCAUUUUCCAAGACUACUGGAUUAGGUGUAUGUUGUACGGACAGACCAGCGUUAGUGUGGCUUGCAAUAUCCUUUGCAAAGCAUUCAUCUUGUAUUACAGUGCCUGCAAUGAUAGACCACAGCUUGUCUGAGACUGAGGAAAAAACACAAAAAAGCCCGCAAACCAGAAACCCUUUCAACAAAAGAGCAGUAGAUGUUCAGGACACCUGCUGUUACAAGAGAUCUUCCUACAGCAAUUAAUUAGUUCAUAGCUGCUGAUAUCUAUAUUCUGGAAGUAAAUGCUCAAGGAAUUACUGGCUUAAACUGGCUUUAAAUUGGAAUCACCUGGAAAAAAUGUGCAACACUUGGAAAAUCUAUUUGGUAGAGGCCUGGGGAGGUUUCCCAAAAGGAUACAGAUCUGAAGGUAGGUAAUUAAUGAACUAGGCCUUGAAUACUGGUAGCUUACCUUUUAUUGUCUUGCAUUAGAAUUUU